CAUGCAAGUCGAACGAAGGCUUCGGCCUUAGUGGCGCACGGGUGCGUAACGCGUGGGAAUCUACCCUUGGGUGCGGAAUAACUCAAAGAAAUUUGGGCUAAUACCGCAUAAUGACUCCGGUCCAAAGAUUUAUCGCCCGAGGAUGAGCCCGCGUAAGAUUAGCUUGUUGGUGGGGUAAAAGCCUACCAAGGCUACGAUCUUUAGCUGGUCUGAGAGGAUGAUCAGCCACACUGGGACUGAGACACGGCCCAGACUCCUACGGGAGGCAGCAGUGGGGAAUAUUGGACAAUGGGGGAAACCCUGAUCAAGCAAUGCCGCGUGAACGAUGAAGGCCUUAGGGUUGUAAAGUUCUUUUACCAGAGAUGAUAAUGACAGUAUCUGGAGAAUAAGCUCCGGCUAACUCCGUGCCAGCAGCCGCGGUAAUACGGAGGGAGUUAGCGUUGUUCGGAAUUACUGGGCGUAAAGCGCACGUAGGCGGUUUUCUAAGUCAGAGGUGAAAGCCCGGAGCUCAACUCCGGAACUGCCUUUGAAACUGGGAGACUAGAAUCUUGGAGAGGUCAGUGGAAUUCCGAGUAUAGAGGUGAAAUUCCGUAGAUAUUC
RNAcentral lists this ribosomal RNA (600 nucleotides) under uncultured Alphaproteobacteria bacterium. RNAcentral's name for it is "bacterial SSU rRNA". It matches the Rfam family "Bacterial small subunit ribosomal RNA", at positions 54 to 699 of the family's 1533-position model. The record is from RNAcentral. Lineage: Bacteria; Pseudomonadati; Pseudomonadota; Alphaproteobacteria.